GUUACAGUUUUUCCGCGAGGCUAACACAACUCCAUGCCAAAAUCGCCAUUGUCAUGAGCCUCAUCAGACGUAACGAAGGCAUCUGGUACACUUACAGCCAGCUGGACGACAAACCGAGUUCACGGAGAGAUAGAUGAAAGGAGGGAAUAACGAAGUCGUAGAGAAAAAGAAAAGAAAAAUGGCAAACGCAGACUUGAGUGUGAGAAUGUGUGAGUGUGUGUGUGUGUGUGUGAUAUAUAUUGGUGGCGGUCCCUUCCUCCUAGUUGUCCUCUCCUUCCCCGUCUUGCGGUGGCGCCGGUUCCGGCGGUUGCUCGUCGGCUGCCAUGUCCGGCAGCGUAUCCUGGGACGGGCUCUUCUUCAUCAUGUGGCUGUAGCUCCCCUUCUCCAUGAACAGCUGCGCGAAGUGGAUCUUGCAGUACAGAACGCCGUUGAGCGCGGCG
This 440-nucleotide long non-coding RNA is filed under the name Zea mays. RNAcentral describes it as "long non-coding RNA (ZMAY_LNC000577)". The record is from RNAcentral. Lineage: Eukaryota; Viridiplantae; Streptophyta; Magnoliopsida; Poales; Poaceae.